UAUAAUCAACUGCGAGAUAGCAUUUAAGAAAAACACUUAAGAUGGCAAUUAAAAGGAGUGCUAAGUAAAUACAAGUCAGAAAACAAGAGUUAAUUAAACUCUGUGAAUUAUUUGUGUGACCCAUAAAGAUAUAGACAAAUUCGAUAAGUAUACACAGACUAAGAUUUUUUGCCUUUCGGAAUACCUGCCGCUAUUGCUUGCGAAAUCUAAAAACAAGCCCUUUAAGAGGCGUGGACUUGCGCAUUCGUAAAGCUCCACAAUUGGAUGGCAUAUUGAAGCCCGGAUAAUUUUAUAACAAUCAAGCAAUAAGAUCCAAAGUCAUCGCAAAAGGGAGCAUCAGAUCGGAUCGCGGCCAAUAUUGCUUAGACUUCUAGAACUUGUAAUACUGAUUCAGCGAAAGUAGCAUCAAGUAUAGAGCUGUGCUGAGUCAUACGCAUUGUGCAUUAGUUAAAACCAGUUCUCAUUAGGGCUCAGCUGAUGAACAAUUGUGGUUUGCCUUUUGGUGCUGGAAAUAGUUAAGAUUAGACCUUAGAAAAUAACAUUUAUAUGUUGAUAAUUUCUUAUUAUUUCUCGGAUCACGGACUUAUCGUAUGCUCCCCUGAUGGAUACGCAAUUAUUUUAAGCUGUGGACUAGGGUCUGGUUAUUGAGCUGGCGGUUUAUCAACGUGUUAUUGAUAAUUACUAGUUACUUAAAAGUCAUAUCUUUGGAGCUAGAGUCAUGAACCUGUCUUGCUCUAGGAUAUUCUGGCGGCAUCGUGUGUAUUAUUCUUAUUGCAUGCUAUUAACUUACAUCAAAUGCUAAAAAAAAGCUUAAAAAAAAAAAGCUAGCCGACCCUUCCGGCAAGAAUGCAAGCAGGUCGAAGCUGGGUAACCCAAGCUACAUACGAAGCAAGAGAUCACUAGUCGAUAAUACCCGAUCUAUAUGGAAACACAGUUACACGUUAAACAAGCACCCGAAAACACAAACCAAGCAAAGGGAAGCCGGGCAGGAAAACUAAAGUAUUCGCUUUAUGGGAUAUACAGAAGCCGUCUUAACGAAAUUGGUGUCACGCGCUCUAAUUAUCGCCGAGCUCAGCUAUCGAUAUUUAUCGAUUUUAAUGAGAGUAUGGACUGUCAGCAAUAAAGUGUAGACUGAAUAGAUUUAAACAACAUUGGAUUUUCUUCGGUGCGAGCGAAAUUCGUUUGCAGUGCCCCAAGACACAUGACAUCAUUUGGAGUCAGGCGGAAACUGGAACAUGACUUUGGCUCUGGCUCUGGCUCCGGCUCUCAGCAUUGGCCUCUUUAUCUCAGCAUUUAGUGCUCCGCCUUCUUCUUCUUCUUCCGUCUCUCUAUGUGCCAAAUCGCUGAUAAAACCCAAAACCGAAACAGUGAAUAAAAAUGAAACGAAAAUAGUCGCAAGGCAAAAAGAUAGCGAAAGAGGCAUCAAACACGUGGCUUCGACUGUCGCAGCUUCACACAAAUGAGCGAGAAGAAUGUGAGGCAAGACAUCAAAUUAAUUAUUAUUAUUUUUUACAUUUAAAGCUUCGAAAAAU
Drosophila novamexicana is the source of this 1532-nucleotide long non-coding RNA. RefSeq lists it as uncharacterized. The transcript is spliced from 3 exons. The record is from RefSeq and is a predicted model, not a curated record. Lineage: Eukaryota; Metazoa; Arthropoda; Insecta; Diptera; Drosophilidae.